AUUGAACGCUGGCGGCAUGCCUUACACAUGCAAGUCGAACGGCAGCACGGGAGCAAUCCUGGUGGCGAGUGGCGAACGGGUGAGUAAUACAUCGGAACGUGCCCAAUCGUGGGGGAUAACGCAGCGAAAGCUGUGCUAAUACCGCAUAAGAUCUACGGAUGAAAGCAGGGGACCGCAAGGCCUUGCGCGAAUGGAGCGGC
Molecule: ribosomal RNA, 200 nt
Filed under: uncultured bacterium
Lineage: Bacteria
Description: partial 16S ribosomal RNA
Rfam family: Bacterial small subunit ribosomal RNA
Source: RNAcentral